Molecule: unclassified non-coding RNA, 373 nt
Filed under: soil metagenome
Description: partial contains 5.8S ribosomal RNA, internal transcribed spacer 2, and large subunit ribosomal RNA
Rfam family: 5.8S ribosomal RNA (bases 1-121)
Source: RNAcentral
GAUGAAGAACGUAGCGAAAUGCGAUAAGUAAUGCGAAUUGCAGAAUUCCAGUGAGUCAUCGAAUCUUUGAACGCACAUUGCGCCCUUUGGUAUUCCGAAGGGCAUGCCUGUUCGAGCGUCAUUAUCACCCCUCAAGCCCUCGGCUUGGUGUUGGACGGUUUGGUGGAGGCCCCCUCGGGGGUUCCUGCCCCUCCCAAAGACAAUGACGGCGGCCUCGUUGGACCCCCGGUACACUGAGUUCUUCACGGGACACGUAUCGGACGCAUGGGUUUACGGGACACGGUCUGCCUCCCCUCAGGGAGAAUCUUUCUAAGGUUGACCUCGGAUCAGGUAGGGAUACCCGCUGAACUUAAGCAUAUCAAUAAGCGGAGGA